Molecule: ribosomal RNA, 477 nt
Filed under: Acetobacter sp.
Lineage: Bacteria; Pseudomonadati; Pseudomonadota; Alphaproteobacteria; Acetobacterales; Acetobacteraceae
Description: partial 23S ribosomal RNA
Rfam family: Bacterial large subunit ribosomal RNA
Source: RNAcentral
UCUCGAGCGAGAUAAGGGCAUUCGGUGGAUGCCUUGGCACCAGAAGGCGAUGAAGGACGUGGCACGCUGCGAAAAGCCAUGGGGAGCCGCGAGCAGGCGUUGAUCCGUGGAUAUCCGAAUGGGGCAACCCACCGCGCAAGCGGUAUCGGGCGCUGAACACAUAGGCGUUCGAGGCGAACCCGGGGAACUGAAACAUCUCAGUACCUGGAGGAAAAGACAUCAACCGAGAUUCCGCGAGUAGUGGCGAGCGAAAGCGGAGCAGGCCAGUGGCGGUGUGAGGGUCAGCAGAACGGUCUGGAAAGGCCGGCCGGAGCGGGUGAGAGCCCCGUAUGCGUCAAUUCUCACAUCGUCCUUGAGUAAGGCGGGACACGUGAAAUCCUGUCUGAAGAUGGGGGGCCCACCCUCCAAGCCUAAAUACUCUCUGGUGACCGAUAGUGCACAAGUACCGUGAGGGAAAGGUGAAAAGCACCCCGAAAG